AUGCCUUUCAAGUCUGGGUAUUUUAGAAUUAGUGGGACAGAUAACAACAACAGAAGUGCAAAACUAUAUUUAAAACCGGCUGUGCUUGGCACCCAGAAACUUUCUUUUUUCCUCACAUUCCUCAUAUUACUUGAAGACCUCUGAAAUAAUGAACCACUUCUAGAAAUUAAUAAUUCCCCCAGGACUUAAAUCCGGGUUUCUUUGCCAGCUUCUCAGACAUUGUGUCUGUGUGUGCACACAUUGAAGACACAAAAAUAUUGUUCCUACAAAUACUGAAAAAUUAUGGAUGAUGCUUCUAAAAUAAACAACAUACUUAUGAAAAUGAUUGUGAUUUU
RNAcentral lists this long non-coding RNA (335 nucleotides) under Chrysolophus pictus (golden pheasant). Its description in RNAcentral is "lncRNA (ENSCPIG00010001228.1)". The record is from RNAcentral. Lineage: Eukaryota; Metazoa; Chordata; Aves; Galliformes; Phasianidae.